This 467-nucleotide unclassified non-coding RNA is filed under the name Hevea brasiliensis (rubber tree). The record is from RNAcentral. Lineage: Eukaryota; Viridiplantae; Streptophyta; Magnoliopsida; Malpighiales; Euphorbiaceae.
UGUUUCUUCAAUUGCUGUUGGACUAAGGGGAACUCUGUUGCACAUUGCCAUAGUGCAGGCAGCUCUUCCACAAGGAAUUGUCCCCUUUGUCUUUGCGAAGGAAUAUAAUGUUCAUCAUCCUAGCAUAUUGAGCACUGGGGUUAUAUUUGGGAUGUUAAUAGCUCUUCCCAUUACACUGGUUUAUUACAUCUUGCUGGGACUUUGAAGACGAAGCUGCAAGCACUGGAGCUGAUAAGAGAAGAAGGCUAGUUUUACAGUAGUAGUAUUAACCAAUUUGGCAUCGGGAUUUUUGAGAUUUGUCUAACACAACAUCAUGAAUCUGAAGACUGCAUUUUGAGAUAAGAAGAUAGGAAGAGNNNNNNNNNNGAUGAUGACCAGAUUACAUUUCUCUUCAAACACUUGGUUGAUCAUGGAAAGAAAAGAGGGAACAAAGUGGAAAUGAUCAAAAAAAGAUUUGAGCAAAAAUU